AGUGAACGCUGGCGGUAGGCCUAACACAUGCAAGUCGAACGGCAGCACAGUAAGAGCUUGCUCUUACGGGUGGCGAGUGGCGGACGGGUGAGGAAUACAUCGUAAUCUACUUUUUCGUGGGGGAUAACGUAGGGAAACUUACGCUAAUACCGCAUACGACCUACGGGUGAAAGCAGGGGAUCUUCGGACCUUGCGCGAUUGAAUGAGCCGAUGUCGGAUUAGCUAGUUGGCGGGGUAAAGGCCCACCAAGGCGACGAUCCGUAGCUGGUCUGAGAGGAUGAUCAGCCACACUGGAACUGAGACACGGUCCAGACUCCUACGGGAGGCAGCAGUGGGGAAUAUUGGACAAUGGGCGCAAGCCUGAUCCAACCAUACCGCGUGGGUGAAGAAGGCCUUCGGGUUGUAAAGCCCUUUUGUUGGGAAAGAAAAGCAGCAGGUUAAUACCCCGCUGUUCUGACGGUACCAAAAGAAUAAGCACCGGCUAACUUCGUG
RNAcentral lists this ribosomal RNA (492 nucleotides) under uncultured bacterium. RNAcentral describes it as "partial 16S ribosomal RNA". It matches the Rfam family "Bacterial small subunit ribosomal RNA", at positions 29 to 507 of the family's 1533-position model. The record is from RNAcentral.